Molecule: long non-coding RNA, 320 nt
Filed under: Mytilus galloprovincialis (Mediterranean mussel)
Lineage: Eukaryota; Metazoa; Mollusca; Bivalvia; Mytilida; Mytilidae
Source: RNAcentral
GGACAGUUUAAAUAGACUACUUUUUUAAAUGGAAAAAAAAAACAUAUGACUGUGCGGCAUAUUUUCAACAUAUAUAUGACUCGAUCUUUUGGUCUUUCUCAGAACUGAAUUUAAUCGCUCUUCGAUUUCUUUUUUUGAUCAUCUACCUAUGAUAUGCGUGUAAAGUGUGUACAAAUGUGAAGAUUACUUGUAUAAGAGGAUUGCACAAUGUUAUCAGACUGAUAUGACAUCUGUCCACUGAAUAUUGUGCAUAUGUACAGUUUUAUAUUUUAGUCAAGUAAAACUUAGUAAUAGUUUAAGUUCUUAAUGUAUUACGCCAC